This 558-nucleotide ribosomal RNA is filed under the name Triticum aestivum (bread wheat). RNAcentral describes it as "partial small subunit ribosomal RNA". The record is from RNAcentral. Lineage: Eukaryota; Viridiplantae; Streptophyta; Magnoliopsida; Poales; Poaceae.
AUGUGGCAUCUAUAUUACUACCUAUGUUACUCCCACUAUGACCAGCCUAACCACCCACGCACACACAUGCCACGAGCCACCAACCACCCAUGCCCACGAUGCGGAUGGCGACCGGCUGGAGGCGAGCGGAGCGGAGGGAGAUUGGCGCCAGGGAGCACGGCGGCCGGCGCGCUGGAGCAUGGCUUGGCGGCGGCACAGGCUAGGGCAGCAGCGGCGGCGUCGGAGCGUGGCUGGGCUGCGGCGGCCGCGGCGGCGCGCGGCGGGGCCGCAGCGCGGGCGAACGUGGCCGGGCGCCGACACGGCGAGCAGGUCCUGGCGGCCGCGGGAUCCUCUUCCCCCAUCCUGCCGCAGACCUCCCCUCCUCUGCGCUCACGCUCGACGGCCUCGUCUACAUCGUCUAUGGAUGGGCUGUGGCCAUGGCAGGGGAAUGGAGCCAUCCACCUCCCUGGCCCCUUGUGCGCUGGCGGCGCGGAUCUCGACCUCCCCGGCGGCGUGGAGUCAACCACCUCCUGGCGGCGCGUGCGUUUGUUCAGUUCGUCAAAUAGAGUAAUUUUUUAG